UUAAGCGACUAAGCGUACACGGUGGAUGCCCUGGCAGUCAGAGGCGAUGAAGGACGUGCUAAUCUGCGAUAAGCGUCGGUAAGGUGAUAUGAACCGUUAUAACCGGCGAUUUCCGAAUGGGGAAACCCAGUGUGAUUCGUCACACUAUCAUUAACUGAAUCCAUAGGUUAAUGAGGCGAACCGGGGGAACUGAAACAUCUAAGUACCCCGAGGAAAAGAAAUCAACCGAGAUUCCCCCAGUAGCGGCGAGCGAACGGGGAGCAGCCCAGAGCCUGAAUCAGUGUGUGUGUUAGUGGAAGCGUCUGGAAAGGCGUGCGAUACAGGGUGACAGCCCCGUACACAAAAAUGCACAUGCUGUGAGCUCGAUGAGUAGGGCGGGACACGUGGUAUCCUGUCUGAAUAUGGGGGGACCAUCCUCCAAGGCUAAAUACUCCUGACUGACCGAUAGUGAACCAGUACCGUGAGGGAAAGGCGAAAAGAACCCCGGCGAGGGGAGUGAAAAAGAACCUGAAACCGUGUACGUACAAGCAGUGGGAGCACGCUUAGGCGUGUGACUGCGUACCUUUUGUAUAAUGGGUCAGCGACUUAUAUUCUGUAGCAAGGUUAACCGAAUAGGGGAGCCGAAGGGAAACCGAGUCUUAACUGGGCGUUAAGUUGCAGGGUAUAGACCCGAAACCCGGUGAUCUAGCCAUGGGCAGGUUGAAGGUUGGGUAACACUAACUGGAGGACCGAACCGACUAAUGUUGAAAAAUUAGCGGAUGACUUGUGGCUGGGGGUGAAAGGCCAAUCAAACCGGGAGAUAGCUGGUUCUCCCCGAAAGCUAUUUAGGUAGCGCCUCGUGAAUUCAUCUCCGGGGGUAGAGCACUGUUUCGGCAAGGGGGUCAUCCCGACUUACCAACCCGAUGCAAACUGCGAAUACCGGAGAAUGUUAUCACGGGAGACACACGGCGGGUGCUAACGUCCGUCGUGAAGAGGGAAACAACCCAGACCGCCAGCUAAGGUCCCAAAGUCAUGGUUAAGUGGGAAACGAUGUGGGAAGGCCCAGACAGCCAGGAUGUUGGCUUAGAAGCAGCCAUCAUUUAAAGAAAGCGUAAUAGCUCACUGGUCGAGUCGGCCUGCGCGGAAGAUGUAACGGGGCUAAACCAUGCACCGAAGCUGCGGCAGCGACACUGUGUGUUGUUGGGUAGGGGAGCGUUCUGUAAGCCUGCGAAGGUGUGCUGUGAGGCAUGCUGGAGGUAUCAGAAGUGCGAAUGCUGACAUAAGUAACGAUAAAGCGGGUGAAAAGCCCGCUCGCCGGAAGACCAAGGGUUCCUGUCCAACGUUAAUCGGGGCAGGGUGAGUCGACCCCUAAGGCGAGGCCGAAAGGCGUAGUCGAUGGGAAACAGGUUAAUAUUCCUGUACUUGGUGUUACUGCGAAGGGGGGACGGAGAAGGCUAUGUUGGCCGGGCGACGGUUGUCCCGGUUUAAGCGUGUAGGCUGGUUUUCCAGGCAAAUCCGGAAAAUCAAGGCUGAGGCGUGAUGACGAGGCACUACGGUGCUGAAGCAACAAAUGCCCUGCUUCCAGGAAAAGCCUCUAAGCAUCAGGUAACAUCAAAUCGUACCCCAAACCGACACAGGUGGUCAGGUAGAGAAUACCAAGGCGCUUGAGAGAACUCGGGUGAAGGAACUAGGCAAAAUGGUGCCGUAACUUCGGGAGAAGGCACGCUGAUAUGUAGGUGAAGUCCCUCGCGGAUGGAGCUGAAAUCAGUCGAAGAUACCAGCUGGCUGCAACUGUUUAUUAAAAACACAGCACUGUGCAAACACGAAAGUGGACGUAUACGGUGUGACGCCUGCCCGGUGCCGGAAGGUUAAUUGAUGGGGUCAGCGCAAGCGAAGCUCUUGAUCGAAGCCCCGGUAAACGGCGGCCGUAACUAUAACGGUCCUAAGGUAGCGAAAUUCCUUGUCGGGUAAGUUCCGACCUGCACGAAUGGCGUAAUGAUGGCCAGGCUGUCUCCACCCGAGACUCAGUGAAAUUGAACUCGCUGUGAAGAUGCAGUGUACCCGCGGCAAGACGGAAAGACCCCGUGAACCUUUACUAUAGCUUGACACUGAACAUUGAGCCUUGAUGUGUAGGAUAGGUGGGAGGCUUUGAAGUGUGGACGCCAGUCUGCAUGGAGCCGGCCUUGAAAUACCACCCUUUAAUGUUUGAUGUUCUAACGUUGACCCGUGAUCCGGGUUGCGGACAGUGUCUGGUGGGUAGUUUGACUGGGGCGGUCUCCUCCUAAAGAGUAACGGAGGAGCACGAAGGUUGGCUAAUCCUGGUCGGACAUCAGGAGGUUAGUGCAAUGGCAUAAGCCAGCUUGACUGCGAGCGUGACGGCGCGAGCAGGUGCGAAAGCAGGUCAUAGUGAUCCGGUGGUUCUGAAUGGAAGGGCCAUCGCUCAACGGAUAAAAGGUACUCCGGGGAUAACAGGCUGAUACCGCCCAAGAGUUCAUAUCGACGGCGGUGUUUGGCACCUCGAUGUCGGCUCAUCACAUCCUGGGGCUGAAGUAGGUCCCAAGGGUAUGGCUGUUCGCCAUUUAAAGUGGUACGCGAGCUGGGUUUAGAACGUCGUGAGACAGUUCGGUCCCUAUCUGCCGUGGGCGCUGGAGAACUGAGGGGGGCUGCUCCUAGUACGAGAGGACCGGAGUGGACGCAUCACUGGUGUUCGGGUUGUCAUGCCAAUGGCACUGCCCGGUAGCUAAAUGCGGAAGAGAUAAGUGCUGAAAGCAUCUAAGCACGAAACUUGCCCCGAGAUGAGUUCUCCCUGACUCCUUGAGAGUCCUGAAGGAACGUUGAAGACGACGACGUUGAUAGGCCGGGUGUGUAAGCGCAGCGAUGCGUUGAGCUAACCGGUACUAAUGAACCGUGAGGCUUAACCUU
RNAcentral lists this ribosomal RNA (2901 nucleotides) under Escherichia coli. Its description in RNAcentral is "bacterial LSU rRNA". It matches the Rfam family "Bacterial large subunit ribosomal RNA". Lineage: Bacteria; Pseudomonadati; Pseudomonadota; Gammaproteobacteria; Enterobacterales; Enterobacteriaceae. The record is from RNAcentral.